AGCGUACACGGUGGAUGCCCUGGCAGUCAGAGGCGAUGAAGGACGUGCUAAUCUGCGAUAAGCGUCGGUAAGGUGAUAUGAACCGUUAUAACCGGCGAUUUCCGAAUGGGGAAACCCAGUGUGUUUCGACACACUAUCAUUAACUGAAUCCAUAGGUUAAUGAGGCGAACCGGGGGAACUGAAACAUCUAAGUACCCCGAGGAAAAGAAAUCAACCGAGAUUCCCCCAGUAGCGGCGAGCGAACGGGGAGCAGCCCAGAGCCUGAAUCAGUGUGUGUGUUAGUGGAAGCGUCUGGAAAGGCGCGCGAUACAGGGUGACAGCCCCGUACACAAAAAUGCACAUGCUGUGAGCUCGAUGAGUAGGGCGGGACACGUGGUAUCCUGUCUGAAUAUGGGGGGACCAUCCUCCAAGGCUAAAUACUCCUGACUGACCGAUAGUGAACCAGUACCGUGAGGGAAAGGCGAAAAGAACCCCGGCGAGGGGAGUGAAAAAGAACCUGAAACCGUGUACGUACAAGCAGUGGGAGCACGCUUAGGCGUGUGACUGCGUACCUUUUGUAUAAUGGGUCAGCGACUUAUAUUCUGUAGCAAGGUUAACCGAAUAGGGGAGCCGAAGGGAAACCGAGUCUUAACUGGGCGUUAAGUUGCAGGGUAUAGACCCGAAACCCGGUGAUCUAGCCAUGGGCAGGUUGAAGGUUGGGUAACACUAACUGGAGGACCGAACCGACUAAUGUUGAAAAAUUAGCGGAUGACUUGUGGCUGGGGGUGAAAGGCCAAUCAAACCGGGAGAUAGCUGGUUCUCCCCGAAAGCUAUUUAGGUAGCGCCUCGUGAAUUCAUCUCCGGGGGUAGAGCACUGUUUCGGCAAGGGGGUCAUCCCGACUUACCAACCCGAUGCAAACUGCGAAUACCGGAGAAUGUUAUCACGGGAGACACACGGCGGGUGCUAACGUCCGUCGUGAAGAGGGAAACAACCCAGACCGCCAGCUAAGGUCCCAAAGUCAUGGUUAAGUGGGAAACGAUGUGGGAAGGCCCAGACAGCCAGGAUGUUGGCUUAGAAGCAGCCAUCAUUUAAAGAAAGCGUAAUAGCUCACUGGUCGAGUCGGCCUGCGCGGAAGAUGUAACGGGGCUAAACCAUGCACCGAAGCUGCGGCAGCGACGCUUAUGCGUUGUUGGGUAGGGGAGCGUUCUGUAAGCCUGUGAAGGUGUACUGUGAGGUAUGCUGGAGGUAUCAGAAGUGCGAAUGCUGACAUAAGUAACGAUAAAGCGGGUGAAAAGCCCGCUCGCCGGAAGACCAAGGGUUCCUGUCCAACGUUAAUCGGGGCAGGGUGAGUCGACCCCUAAGGCGAGGCCGAAAGGCGUAGUCGAUGGGAAACAGGUUAAUAUUCCUGUACUUGGUGUUACUGCGAAGGGGGGACGGAGAAGGCUAUGUUGGCCGGGCGACGGUUGUCCCGGUUUAAGCGUGUAGGCUGGUUUUCCAGGCAAAUCCGGAAAAUCAAGGCUGAGGCGUGAUGACGAGGCACUACGGUGCUGAAGCAACAAAUGCCCUGCUUCCAGGAAAAGCCUCUAAGCAUCAGGUAACAUCAAAUCGUACCCCAAACCGACACAGGUGGUCAGGUAGAGAAUACCAAGGCGCUUGAGAGAACUCGGGUGAAGGAACUAGGCAAAAUGGUGCCGUAACUUCGGGAGAAGGCACGCUGAUAUGUAGGUGAAGUCCCUCGCGGAUGGAGCUGAAAUCAGUCGAAGAUACCAGCUGGCUGCAACUGUUUAUUAAAAACACAGCACUGUGCAAACACGAAAGUGGACGUAUACGGUGUGACGCCUGCCCGGUGCCGGAAGGUUAAUUGAUGGGGUCAGCGCAAGCGAAGCUCUUGAUCGAAGCCCCGGUAAACGGCGGCCGUAACUAUAACGGUCCUAAGGUAGCGAAAUUCCUUGUCGGGUAAGUUCCGACCUGCACGAAUGGCGUAAUGAUGGCCAGGCUGUCUCCACCCGAGACUCAGUGAAAUUGAACUCGCUGUGAAGAUGCAGUGUACCCGCGGCAAGACGGAAAGACCCCGUGAACCUUUACUAUAGCUUGACACUGAACAUUGAGCCUUGAUGUGUAGGAUAGGUGGGAGGCUUUGAAGUGUGGACGCCAGUCUGCAUGGAGCCGACCUUGAAAUACCACCCUUUAAUGUUUGAUGUUCUAACGUGGACCCGUAAUCCGGGUUGCGGACAGUGUCUGGUGGGUAGUUUGACUGGGGCGGUCUCCUCCUAAAGAGUAACGGAGGAGCACGAAGGUUGGCUAAUCCUGGUCGGACAUCAGGAGGUUAGUGCAAUGGCAUAAGCCAGCUUGACUGCGAGCGUGACGGCGCGAGCAGGUGCGAAAGCAGGUCAUAGUGAUCCGGUGGUUCUGAAUGGAAGGGCCAUCGCUCAACGGAUAAAAGGUACUCCGGGGAUAACAGGCUGAUACCGCCCAAGAGUUCAUAUCGACGGCGGUGUUUGGCACCUCGAUGUCGGCUCAUCACAUCCUGGGGCUGAAGUAGGUCCCAAGGGUAUGGCUGUUCGCCAUUUAAAGUGGUACGCGAGCUGGGUUUAGAACGUCGUGAGACAGUUCGGUCCCUAUCUGCCGUGGGCGCUGGAGAACUGAGGGGGGCUGCUCCUAGUACGAGAGGACCGGAGUGGACGCAUCACUGGUGUUCGGGUUGUCAUGCCAAUGGCACUGCCCGGUAGCUAAAUGCGGAAGAGAUAAGUGCUGAAAGCAUCUAAGCACGAAACUUGCCCCGAGAUGAGUUCUCCCUGACUCCUUGA
RNAcentral lists this ribosomal RNA (2787 nucleotides) under Escherichia coli. RNAcentral's name for it is "bacterial LSU rRNA". It matches the Rfam family "Bacterial large subunit ribosomal RNA". The record is from RNAcentral. Lineage: Bacteria; Pseudomonadati; Pseudomonadota; Gammaproteobacteria; Enterobacterales; Enterobacteriaceae.